Molecule: transfer RNA, 64 nt
Filed under: Epicauta impressicornis
Lineage: Eukaryota; Metazoa; Arthropoda; Insecta; Coleoptera; Meloidae
Description: tRNA-Leu
Source: RNAcentral
GUUACUUUGGCAGAAUAGUGCAAUAAAUUUAGAAUUUAUAUAAGUAAUUGUAUUACAAGUAACA